CAGGCAGGAGGAGAUGAUUCGCCAGCGAUCCUUCCUGUGAUUAGAUCCCCACCCCAGGCAUUCCAGCAUGCAGCGACCUCAUCGUUUCAGCGGCUAUUCCAUGAACAGAGGAAAUAACUACCCUCAUGGAGCAGCUCCUCGCACCAGCGGUCGCCGGGCAAGGCCCAUCUUGGAUGCGAUUAAGAGUGUGAAGGGACUCUUGGUGGGAAGCGGCCAGGGAGAACGCCAGUCGAUCUUCUUCAGUGCCAGGUGGUCACUAACUGAGGACUGACUGUGCUGGCCACCAAAGAAACGCGGACAAGUAGAGAAAAACAGCCCCUGACCUGGAAGAUGUCCUCAUCUAGCUGGGGAAAGAAAGAGCAACAACAUCAAAACUGCACAAGCAGGUAAAGUGCAAAUCUUCAGCAGGCUUAAGAACUAGGAGGACUCUGCACCUCUGCACCUUCCCACAAGAGGGAAGCAUUCCAGGAACUGACUGCAGGAGCCGCUCUUUCUGGGCCUCUGCAGUCCAUGGCACAGCCCACCACCAGCAAAUUUGCCGUUGGCUGCAAACCCAGGGGAAGCUCCUGAAGGUAGGAUAAGAAGCACCAAAGCACUGCUUUGGUCUGAAUGCGUCCCCCUAAACUCAACAGCCAAUGAGAUAGUGUUCUGGGUUGGGGCCUUUAGGAGGUGAUGGGACACUGGCUAUCCCCUCCUGCAUGGGAUGGAGUCUUGGAUAAAAGAGGCUCAGCAUUUGGUCCCCUCUGCCAGGUGGGGACACAGUGUUGGUCCCCCAGGUGCUGUUUUGGAAGCAGGGAAGAGCAGUUCCAGGGAGACACUUCCCAGAUACAUGAGUUUCUGUUCCUUAUAAACCACCCAGGCACAGGUAUUUUGUCACAGCAGCACAAAUGGACAAAUGGACAGAGACAGCAACCUUGUUUAUAAUUAACCUUCCUCCCAGUAUAGCUUAG
Molecule: non-coding RNA, 950 nt
Organism: Heterocephalus glaber (naked mole-rat)
Lineage: Eukaryota; Metazoa; Chordata; Mammalia; Rodentia; Bathyergidae
Source: RefSeq, a predicted model, not a curated record